AGUCGAUGGGAAACAGGUUAAUAUUCCUGUACUUGGUGUUACUGCGAAGGGGGGACGGAGAAGGCUAUGUUGGCCGGGCGACGGUUGUCCCGGUUUAAGCGUGUAGGCUGGUUUUCCAGGCAAAUCCGGAAAAUCAAGGCUGAGGCGUGAUGACGAGGCACUACGGUGCUGAAGCAACAAAUGCCCUGCUUCCAGGAAAAGCCUCUAAGCAUCAGGUAACAUCAAAUCGUACCCCAAACCGACACAGGUGGUCAGGUAGAGAAUACCAAGGCGCUUGAGAGAACUCGGGUGAAGGAACUAGGCAAAAUGGUGCCGUAACUUCGGGAGAAGGCACGCUGAUAUGUAGGUGAAGUCCCUCGCGGAUGGAGCUGAAAUCAGUCGAAGAUACCAGCUGGCUGCAACUGUUUAUUAAAAACACAGCACUGUGCAAACACGAAAGUGGACGUAUACGGUGUGACGCCUGCCCGGUGCCGGAAGGUUAAUUGAUGGGGUUAGCGCAAGCGAAGCUCUUGAUCGAAGCCCCGGUAAACGGCGGCCGUAACAAUAACGGUCCUAAGGUAGCGAAAUUCCUUGUCGGGUAAGUUCCGACCUGCACGAAUGGCGUAAUGAUGGCCAGGCUGUCUCCACCCGAGACUCAGUGAAAUUGAACUCGCUGUGAAGAUGCAGUGUACCCGCGGCAAGACGGAAAGACCCCGUGAACCUUUACUAUAGCUUGACACUGAACAUUGAGCCUUGAUGUGUAGGAUAGGUGGGAGGCUUUGAAGUGUGGACGCCAGUCUGCAUGGAGCCGACCUUGAAAUACCACCCUUUAAUGUUUGAUGUUCUAACGUGGACCCGUAAUCCGGGUUGCGGACAGUGUCUGGUGGGUAGUUUGACUGGGGCGGUCUCCUCCUAAAGAGUAACGGAGGAGCACGAAGGUUGGCUAAUCCUGGUCGGACAUCAGGAGGUUAGUGCAAUGGCAUAAGCCAGCUUGACUGCGAGCGUGACGGCGCGAGCAGGUGCGAAAGCAGGUCAUAGUGAUCCGGUGGUUCUGAAUGGAAGGGCCAUCGCUCAACGGAUAAAAGGUACUCCGGGGAUAACAGGCUGAUACCGCCCAAGAGUUCAUAUCGACGGCGGUGUUUGGCACCUCGAUGUCGGCUCAUCACAUCCUGGGGCUGAAGUAGGUCCCAAGGGUAUGGCUGUUCGCCAUUUAAAGUGGUACGCGAGCUGGGUUUAGAACGUCGUGAGACAGUUCGGUCCCUAUCUGCCGUGGGCGCUGGAGAAUUGAGGGGGGCUGCUCCUAGUACGAGAGGACCGGAGUGGACGCAUCACUGGUGUUCGGGUUGUCAUGCCAAUGGCACUGCCCGGUAGCUAAAUGCGGAAGAGAUAAGUGCUGAAAGCAUCUAAGCACGAAACUUGCCCCGAGAUGAGUUCUCCCUGACUCCUUGAGAGUCCUGAAGGAACGUUGAAGACGACGACGUUGAUAGGCCGGGUGUGUAAGCGCAGCGAUGCGUUGAGCUAACCGGUACUAAUGAACCGUGACUAAGCGUA
Molecule: ribosomal RNA, 1530 nt
Filed under: gut metagenome
Description: bacterial LSU rRNA
Rfam family: Bacterial large subunit ribosomal RNA
Source: RNAcentral